CAAGGAAUAUUGGGCAAUGGGCGAAAGCCUGACCCAGCGACACCGCGUGAGGGAUUAAGGCCUUCGGGUCGUAAACCUCUUUUCUCGAGGAAGAAGCUCUGACGGUACUCGAGGAAUAAGCCACGGCUAACUACGUGCCAGCAGCCGCGGUAAUACGUAGGUGGCGAACGUUAUCCGGAUUUAUUGGGCGUAAAGAGAGUGUAGGCGGCUUGUUAAGUCGAGUGUUAAAUCUCCUGACUCAAUCAGGAGUUGCAUUUGAUACUGGCAGACUUGAGGGCAGCAGAGGAAAACGGAAUUCCCAGUGUAGCGGUGAAAUGCGUUGAUAUUGGGAAGAACACCAGAGGCGAAGGCGGUUUUCCAGGCUGUUUCUGACGCUGAGAUUCGAAAGCGUGGGGAGCGAAGCGGAUUGGAUACCCGCGUAGUCCACGCCAUAAACGGUGGACAUUAGGUAUGGGAAGUAUCGACCCUUUCCGUGCCGUAGCUAACGCUUUAAAUGUCCCGCCUGGGGAGUACGGUCGCAAGGCUA
RNAcentral lists this ribosomal RNA (526 nucleotides) under uncultured bacterium. Its description in RNAcentral is "bacterial SSU rRNA". It matches the Rfam family "Bacterial small subunit ribosomal RNA", at positions 355 to 896 of the family's 1533-position model. The record is from RNAcentral.